AAAAGUCUUCCUCCUCCUGUAUCUCUUGUACUCGAAUUUGAGGAAGUUAUACUAGACGGAUAUGUCAAGUGGUAUUCAGAGCUUAGAUCGGUCCGAUUCGCGCUCCGCAAUCUCGAGAUUUCUCUGUAACAUCGACCGAUUGGUUGUUGAUUGCUUUUGGGCGAUCGACUAGAAAUCCGAAAUCGGCGUGAGAGGAAUUCAGAGGGAGCGGCGACGGCGCCGUUCAAGCUGAACGCUCAGACGAGGCAUUUGGUGGACGCGAUGAGCUCGUUUGAGGAGAACUUGAUGCAGGAGUGGAGGGGAUUGCCGAAAUCCAGACUCGGCUGGAUGGAUUGGAUAGCAAGUUUGAGGAACAGAUGGCCCGGCUAGAUCAAGUCCACUCCAAGGUAAAUCUCUUCGUGAGUUCUCCGGGGGAGAUCCACCAGGAUCAGGUUCAUGUGGCACGGGUGCUCAAGGAGUCAUCCAGCGCGAGGGAUGCGAAUAUCGGCAGUAUGGCGGCGCCGCCGCGCCGGGGUGUUUCGCCUUUUUGCUGCCCGGCAGCAGCAGCGCAUGCCAGUGGGUCGACUUCGAAGGAACAACACCGCCCUCCUCCUCCAGUGGAUCCUGGCAAGGUACCUCCAACACCACAGUAUUCCUCUUCGUUUGACGAGCAUGGGUCGAAGCGGCCGUGGAUGCCUAAGAUAGAAUUUCCGAGGCUUGAUGGAGUGCGUAUUUGGCUUGACAAUUGUGAGGCCUAUUUCCAACUGUAUCAAAUUCCUGACAAUUUCAUGGUCAUGUCCGCAUCUCUGCACCUAUACGGCAAUGCAGCACACUGGUAUCAGGCGUAUAAACUGUAUGAUUACUGCUCUUCAUGGAGUCAGUUUGCCUCAGCUAUUCUGCUGGAGUUUGACCGGAACAUGCAUCGAAACUGUAUGCGCGAAUUGCUAGUAACUGAAACAGGUUGGUUCAGUUCAGGAAUGUCGCAACAACCUCAACCAAUUGGUGUACCAAGUGCGACUGUAUGAAGGGGCUGUUAGUGAAACCCUGUUGGUAACUCAAUUUGUCUUAGGAUUGAAGGAAGAAAUUCGUUCUGCAGUGGAAAUCUAGUUACCUCUGUUAGUAAACACGGUAGCUGAAUAUGCUUUAGUAUAGGAGGCGGUGUUGGAGAGGAACAAAAGUCAGCAAGGGCGUUUUCAUAGAAAUGGAGGAUACAGAACUCAGCAAACACGAGAGCCAAUGCAGAGAACACAAUUUGCAGCUGGAGAGAUUUGGAAAGCCAAACAACUCAAGGAUUACCGUAGGGCCAACAUUUGUGCUAUAGUUGUGCAGAUAAAUAUGCUCCUGGACACUUAUGCAAGAAAAACGAAAUGCAAGUCAAGGCUGCUCAAAUCAUAUCAGAAGAGCAAGUGUAUUUGGAAGAUGCUAUGUUGGAUGCCUUGGCAGUGGAGAAAACUGCAGCUGAGGCUGCUGCCUUUCUGUCGGUUAAUGCUCUGUUAGGUUCCCAAAAUCCUAAGACAAUCAGAUUAAGAGCUAUGGUGGACAAUAAGGUCAUGCUUCUGUUAGUGGACUCUGGAAGUUCACAUACUUUUAUUGAUCAGCAACUGGCGUACAUGCUACAGUGUCCUACCUCUCCACUUCAUGUUUCUCUGAGAGUGAAAGUAGCUAAUGGGGAGUUCAUGCAGUGUGAGCAAGAAGUUCAUGGGUUUAAAUGGUGGAUUCAGGGUCACACCUUCAUUACUGACAUGAAGUUUGUGCCAUUGGGAGGCUAUGAUGCCAUCUUGGGCAUGGAUUGGCUGGAGAAAUGGGGUCCUAUGACUUGUCACUGGAGGAAAAGUGGAUUCAGUUCCAACACAAUGAACAACUCAUUACUUUACAAGGCUUGCAUGAUAAACCUGUGACACAAAUUAAAGAGCUCACUGCAGAACAGUUAGAGAAGUGUCUUAAAGGUAAUGAUGUUUGGGCUACAGCAGUGUUAGCCCCUGAAGCAGAUCUCUCUGUCCAAACUACACCUGAAAGUGUACAAGAACUUCUGACUGAAUACAGUGAUGUGUUUCAGAAACCACAGCAGUUGGCACCACAUAGAGCAUUUGAUCAUGCCGUUUCCCCUGUUACCUGACAGUGUUCCUGUAAACUCAAGACCAUAUAGAUAUUCUCCUUUGCAAAAGGAUAAGAUUGAGAAGCAGGUGGAUGAAAUGAUUGAAGCUGGACUAGUGCAACCCAGUAUGUCUCCUUUUGCUUCUCCUGUGCUGCUGGUCAAGAAAAAUGAUGGAACAUGGAGGUUUUGUGUGGAUUAUAGAACGUUGAAUGUUUUGACAAUAAAAAGCAAAUUUCCUAUGCCUGUGGUAGAUGAGCUAUUGGAUGAGGCAGGUGCCAAAUGGUUUUCCAAACUGGAUCUUAGAGCAGGGUACCAUCAGAUUAGGAUGGUGGAAGAGGAUGAAGCUAAAACAGCAUUUAAGACUCAUCAUGGUCAAUUCCAGUUCAGAGUUAUGCCAUUUGGUCUCACAAAUGCACCAGCACAUUUCUAGUGCCUUAUGAAUGCAAUAUUUGCCAGGUUUACAAGAAGAUUUGUGUUAGUAUUCAUGAAUGAUAUCCUAGUUUUUAGUGAAGAUUUGGACUCCCACUUAGAGCACAAGUUAUUUCCCAAGGAAAGCAAAUGUUUCUUUGCUCAGCAACAACUUGAGUACCUGGGCCACAUUAUUUCUGACAAAGGUGUAGCAACUGAUCCAGAGAAAACUAAGGCUAUGUUACAGUGGCCCACUCCUACUACUGUGACAGUUACGAGGGUUUCUAGGGCUCACGGGGUACUAUAGGAAAUUUGUCCAAAAUUAUGGGAUUCUGGCAAAGCCCCUAACUGUACUUUUGCAGAAGAAAGUUUUCACCUGGUCUUCAGAGGCACGAGUGGAAAUUUACAAGCUCAAGCAAGCAAUGAGCACCACCCCUGUCCUGGCUUUACCUAAUUUUUCACAGCACUUCUGCAUUGAAACGGAUGCCUGUGACACUGGCAUUGGUGAUGUACUCAGUCAACAAGGACACCCAGUGGCUUACUACAGUAAGGCCUUGGGCACGAACAACAGCAAAUUGUCCAUCUACGAGGAGUUCUGAGCUGUGAUGAUGGCUGUGGACAGGUGGAGACCGUAUCUGUCCAGGGGAUCAUUCACAAUCAAGACUGAUCACCAGAGUUUGUGUAGUUUGGAGGACCAAGUCCUGACUUCAGACUUGCAAAGAAAAGCUAUGGCCAAGUUAGUAGGCUUGCAGUUUAAAUUCCAGUUCAGAAAAGGAGUUGACAAUAAGGUGGCCGAUGCCCUUUCUAGAGUGGGACAUGCUUUUGCCUUGAAAGGGGUUUCCAGUUCUCAUCCUGUGUGGAUUCAGAAGGUCAUCAAUUCCUAUGUAAUAGAUUCUGAAGCACAGGAAUUACUACAAAAGCUGGCUGUUACACCUGAAGCAGACCCAGAUUUUACUCUUCAAAAAGGUCUACUUAGACACCAGGGAAGAAUUUGGAUUGGUGCUAAUUCUGCAUUGCAAACUAAAAUCAUAGAAGCAUUUCAUGCUAGUCCCAUAGGAGGCCACUCAGGAAUGCAAGCUACUUAUCAGAGGAUAAAGAAUUUGUUUCACUGGUCAGGCCUCAAACAAGCUGUCAUGAAAUUUGUCCAGCGGUGUCAGGUUUGCCAACAAGCUAAGUGUGAACAGUGCAAGUAUCCAGGACUUCCUAAUCCACUGCCUGUUCCCCAAGGAGCUUGGGAGGAUGUGACCAUGGAUUUUGUGGAAGGUCUGCCUAAAUCAUGUGGCUACUCUGUGAUAAUGGUGGUAGUGGGCAGAUUUACAAAAUAUAGUCAUUUUUGUUCCCUUGAAACACCCUUACACUGCUGCUUCUGUUGCCCAACUGUUCUUGCAGAAUAUUGUCAGGUUGCACAGCAUGCCCUACACUAUAACAUCUGACGGGGAUCCAGUGUUCACAAGUAAAUUUUGGAAAGAAUUAUGGUCUUUGUGGCGCUCUAAACUUCCAAUGUCAACUGCCAGGCACCCUCAGACUGAUGGUCAAUCAGAAAAGCAAUGUCUCGAGAUGUAUCUCCGGUGCUCUGUCAAUGCUACACCAACUAAGUGGGCCAUCUGGUUACCAUUGGCUGAAUUUUGGUAUAAUACCUCCCAUCAUUCAUCACUGAGUUGUUCUCCUUUUAAGGCAUUAUAUGGACAUGAGCCACAUAUUGGAGAACUGCCUCGCCCUCUGACAACUGACAAGGUCGAUGUGGAUCAGUCGAUCCAAGAACGUCAACGUUACUCUGAACAUCUGAAAGUGCAGCUACAUAGAGCUCAAGCAAAAAUGAAGUCUGAAGCAGACAAACAUCGCUCUUCCAGAGAAUUUCAGAUAGAAGAGGAGGUCUUCCUCAAGCUCCAACCAUAUGCACAAUCAUUAGUGGUAAAUAGACCUUUUCCUAAAUUGGCAUUCAAGUACUUUGGGCCUUAUAAGAUACUGGAGAAGAUUGGUCCAGUAGAGUAUAAACUAGCGCUCCCUGAAGGCAGUCAGGUACAUCCGGUGUUUCAUGUUUCUCAGCUGAAACAACAUGUACCUGACCACACUCCAGUUUUUACUACUUUACCGGCACUUCUGUUGAUGGAAGUUGAGGAUCUGCAGCCUGCCCUGAUCCUUGAUCGCCGGCUAGUGAAGAAAGGUAAUCAAGCACUGUUAAAUUAUCAGCCUCAGAUGCUACAUGGGAAGAUUACACGACAGUUUGACAGACGUUUCCAAAUGCACCAGCUUGGGAACAAGUUGGUUCUGGAGAGGCGGAACCUGUAAGUACCGUGACCCCGACAAGUACUGAACCAGGAACAGGUGUUCUGAAGAUGAUAGAGUCCUGCACCAAAGAGAGUGUGUGAGCUGGUUUUUAGUCUUUGGGCCAGCGGGUCGUGGGCCGUGUAAGGGAAGAGUUUGGAUGAGCUGUAUGAGCAGACAUAUAAGCUCGGUCGUUCCGUAGGUGAGGCAACGAGUUGUUGAACUAGCUCACGUUUCCUUCCUCCUCUCUGUAUCUUCUUCUUUCCCAAGUCUUCCUCCUGCUGUACCUCUUGUACUCGAAUCUGAGAAAGUUAUACUAGGUCGGAUAUGUCAAUCAGCCUGGUUGUUCUGUUUGUCGAAGGAUUAGCUUGGUUUUGCCACACUACUGUUUUAGAAUGCUAGCUGGAAAUUUGCCUCUGUUCUGAGUAGAUAAUGACUGCGUUCAAUGCACUUUGCUUUCCAAAACAAAGUAAUAGAUGUGAAUAUUGGUUAAACGAAUGAGCAACAAACCAGCAAUGACCCUGAAGAGAUUUCGAUUUAUUUGAUUGGGACACAUAUUUAUCAACAAUUUUUAGCUGGUGGAGAAUUUACUAUGCUUCAAUUGGAAAAGAAGAUCUGAUGUGCAGUUAUAGUGAUGGAGAAAUUCAGGAACCUGAGGAAAUGAAGCAUGUUUUCACAAAAUGAGAAGACAUGCUAAUAUGGGUUUGCUGUAUCCAAAGGGAUGGCACCUAAUACAAGGUAUUAGGCACUUUAUGGCUUCUAUAGACGGCGUUUCACUGGUAAAAUGAUAUUACCUUUUUUUUCAAAUAACUUCUAAAGGUUUGGCAUGUCCUGCAAAAAUAUCUAGCGGUCGAUCUUUUGUAAACUUUAAAUGCUACAUUAGAUAUGUUUUAUUGCGGCUCAGUAGAUCUGCUGCCAGAAAGUGCACAGAUCAUGGAAUUAACAUGCUAAGAUUCGCGUCACCAUUAGAAAGUAAUACCCGUUAGGUUUAUUGUGAGAUCAGAAGAUCUUGGUCUUUAAAAAAAAAAACUCACCGAAGUUCUGAAUGUUCCAAUAUAGGGGCAUACUGACAUGCCCCUUAUUGCUACGAUAGUAUUUGUACUUGUGUAGGUAGUAUUGUGGCUAGCUUUUUGUUUCUCCUCCAUUUCCUGGUAUUUGCCAGUUUUCUGAUAUGAACUGUAAUAGUUGAUAAUCCAGUUUAAUAACCAAGCAAGAGAUGUGAUGUGCCAGUGUUAAAUUCAUGGUCUGCAGAUGCUGUUGAGGAGAUGCAGUUGCAGAGUCAGCAAAACGACCUCAUGCGAAUGAUUAUCCGAACUCUGUUUACCUCUCCUGUUUUUGUUUAUAUUCCUGGAAGACUGUAUGCUGGCGUAGAUGUUUAGUUUAUGUUGGUUUGAAACCUUUCGGAACCUGGUUUUAGACCAGAAGCUCUGUAUGACUUGUUGGUUUCAUUUCUAUGAAAUGGAGCCGGGGGAGCUCCUCCCCCUUGAUCGAAAAAAAAGAUUAUCCGAACUCUGGCUGCAAAUAUGAUUGAAAUGAUUUGGAGUUAAUUUAGCGUUUAUGGGAAUGUCAUUAGUACUUUCAGUCAGGUAUGGCAAAGCUGGGGCACUGAUUUGGUUUCACUGAAAUUUGUUCAUAAUUAUAUUAGGUUGUUUGUUAUAUAUUCCAGAUGAAUCUUUAGCUAGAUUCUGGUGGAUGGAAGAACGGGAGAGACGAGGAAGUUAACAAUAUGCUCUUUGUUGCAGUUAUGGUUUGGCUGGAAGGAACAAAGCUAAUCCAGGUGAGAAGACAAGAAUGGUGGUCAAGAUAAAUUUUUCCUAUCAGCGUACAUGAAGACCUUAACCUGAAAGUAAAAAAAAAAGCUCGAAAGGCAAAGCGGGAACCCAGAUGGAGGGCACCGAUGCAGGAGUCGAUACUGAUGGGCUUUUUGUUAAGCUGAAUUGAGCUGGGUCAAGUGCUUGUGACAGGGCAAGGACACCUCGAGGAGCUCUCGAGUGGCCUACAUGCUGAAACGCUGGGCACUACUUCAAGAUGUACGAAUUACUUGAACCAUCAGAUGCAGUAACGUGGAGCUGCAAAUGCAUGCCUCAAACCUGAAUCUGGCAAUGACCUCUCGCAACUACGACCUCUCUCCACUGGGUGUAAUCUUCAAAGAAAAUUAAAGCCUUGUUGUGUAUUGCUUAUUAUAGUUGUGCCUAAGAUCCUGUAACUCUGUAGUGCAUUUAGUAGUUCCAUUGUAGUUUCUAUCAAGGUGAACGUGUACACCAUGUUGUAAUCUGACAUAAACACAGAACAGUUAAAAUUUCCUAAGAGACAUAUCAUACUACUCCAUACACCA
Molecule: long non-coding RNA, 7082 nt
Organism: Triticum dicoccoides
Lineage: Eukaryota; Viridiplantae; Streptophyta; Magnoliopsida; Poales; Poaceae
Exons: 2
Source: RefSeq, a predicted model, not a curated record